Molecule: unclassified non-coding RNA, 231 nt
Filed under: fungal sp.
Lineage: Eukaryota; Fungi
Description: partial internal transcribed spacer region
Rfam family: Eukaryotic small subunit ribosomal RNA (bases 1-48)
Source: RNAcentral
AAAAGUCGUAACAAGGUCUCCGUAGGUGAACCUGCGGAGGGAUCAUUAACAAAGCAAGGUGUUCAGGAAAGAGGCGACUGCGUAGCAGGAGCGUCUUUUCUGAAUUCCCAAACACAUGUUGCCACCGAUGGUUGGAUUUCAAUUGUUGGUGGCACACAUACAUUGACAUUUCUACAACAACCACUUCAACAAAAUACAAACAACUUUUAACAAUGGAUCUCUUGGCUCUUG